Long non-coding RNA from Drosophila gunungcola (fruit fly), 1667 nucleotides. RefSeq lists it as uncharacterized. The transcript has 4 exons. Lineage: Eukaryota; Metazoa; Arthropoda; Insecta; Diptera; Drosophilidae. The record is from RefSeq and is a predicted model, not a curated record.
GACAAGUACAACAACUAUGCGGCGCGAGAAUUUGUUUACGUGCGCAGGCGCAGCCGCUGUCGACGUUGCUGCUUCUGCUGCAGUCGCAGUCGCUGCCUCUGCCGACGUCAACGUCGGCACUUGUCCGCCGCUUUUAUUAUUGUUAUUGUUGUUAGUGCUGGUGGCGCAGUACUCGUUUGUUGCCAAAGUUAAUUGUUUUCUGCCGCAGCUGCACAGUGGAACAUCGAAAAGAGCGGGGCAGCACAGUGGGCACUCGAAUGGAAUGUGGCAAGGCCUCAAACUGGUUUUCAGUUUUUAGGGGCUCAGGUGCGACGAUGCCGCGAUUGAGACUUCAACUCUGGAGCAGGAAUUCCGCUGGCAUAUCAAAACCUCUCACAGAUACAAACAAAAACAAAAACAAAAACUUUCCUUCAUGCGGCUCCGCUCGCUGAACAAUCAAUGGAUUUGUGCUUUUAAUUACACUUAAUACCAAAGUGUUUAUGCAAAGGAAAAGAAGAAACCGAAAGAAAGACGCCUCGAAUUUGUGUGUGCAAUCAACGGAAUGUAAAACGCGGAGUAUGCAGAAAGUACGAGUGCAGCUCAGCAGCAGCAACAUGCAACAGGCACUGCAGCUUGUAAUUUACCGCUAAUUCGAUGUGAAGUGAGACGUCCGACGAUGACGACCAUAUACCGCCCGUACCCGUACCGCUCGUACCGCCCAUACCGCUCAUACCGCCCAUCUCGGUGGCCACUUGGUGGCCACUUGGUGGUCACUUGGCCAGUUUGUUUCCGCCUGUUGCGCUCCGCUGAAAUCACAGGGGCUGCUGCAGGCGUUGCCCAAUGCAGAUUACCGUUGCGCAUGCCCACAAACACAAGUGCACUGAAAAAAACUAGUUUCAAACAAAAAGUUGAAUAUACAAACAUAGGUGCACUUUUUAAGACACAUUUCGACAAAUUUUCUUAGGCAUUAAGAGCAACCAGCCUGUUUAAUAUUAAAUGUGAUAAAACUAUUUUACAAAGCAGGCGUGCUCAGAACUGCAGGCAGUGCCUUUACCGUAAGAAAACACUCGUGGAGUCGAGAAACAAUGACAGUGUAUAGUCGAAGAAAACACAAAACAAAUUGGCGACCAAAAAAAAAGCCCAAUGAAAUUGUUGUUGCCUUGCCUCGGUCUUAUCAGCAAAGAAAAGGGACCGCAAGGAAGAAACGAAAAAUUGUUAGUGCGUCGAAUUGUGCCUAGCAUGCUUAUCUAUUAAGCCAGUGUGCAGUUACAAAAACAAAUGUACGCACAGUGAGCACAUAGGCAUGAGCACCCCUGAUACAAAGUUUUAUCAAAAACAAAUUGAUUAAGUUUAUUGUUCUGAUAGCAGUUAUGAACAUGUUUGUUGAAGAGCUGUUGAUGUUUUUUUUUGAAAAAUAACAAAUUUUGGGAAUAUUAUUUUUCUCUGUGGACAGAAACUAGCCAGGCUUCACUGAACUUGGAGCACUUAAAAGGAACUUUAUAAGUUGUUGUGACUUCUGGAACUGCAAGGGAGCUUUGAAGUUAAUGGAACGUUAAAGAUUUAGGUUCUCACCGCAGCACCGCCACAAUGGGGAUCCACAGGAUGGACGAGAGGAUCAGGAAGAAGGCGACGACGAUGCACCAGUGGGGCCACUCCUGGUUCUCGGAGGCACCCUUGGCCCCGAUCCA